This 253-nucleotide ribosomal RNA is filed under the name uncultured bacterium. Its description in RNAcentral is "partial 16S ribosomal RNA". It matches the Rfam family "Bacterial small subunit ribosomal RNA", at positions 524 to 776 of the family's 1533-position model. The record is from RNAcentral.
UACAGAGGGUGCAAGCGUUAAUCGGAAUUACUGGGCGUAAAGCGUGCGUAGACGGUUAUGUAAGUCGGGUGUGAAAGCCCCGAGCUCAACCUGGGAAUUGCAUUCGAGACUGCAUAGCUAGGGUGCGGAAGAGGGAAGCGGAAUUUCCGGUGUAGCGGUGAAAUGCGUAGAUAUCGGAAGGAACACCAGUGGCGAAAGCGGCUUCCUGGUCCAGCACCGACGUUCAGGCACGAAAGCGUGGGGAGCAAACAGG